UGUGAGUUCGAUGAGUAGGGCGGGACACGUGACAUCCUGUCUGAAUAUGGGGGGACCAUCCUCCAAGGCUAAAUACUCCUGACUGACCGAUAGUGAACCAGUACCGUGAGGGAAAGGCGAAAAGAACCCCGGCGAGGGGAGUGAAAUAGAACCUGAAACCGUGUACGUACAAGCAGUGGGAGCCUACUUGUUAGGUGACUGCGUACCUUUUGUAUAAUGGGUCAGCGACUUAUAUUCUGUAGCAAGGUUAACCGUAUAGGGGAGCCGCAGGGAAACCGAGUCUUAACUGGGCGUUAAGUUGCAGGGUAUAGACCCGAAACCCGGUGAUCUAGCCAUGGGCAGGUUGAAGGUUGGGUAACACUAACUGGAGGACCGAACCGACUAAUGUUGAAAAAUUAGCGGAUGACUUGUGGCUGGGGGUGAAAGGCCAAUCAAACCGGGAGAUAGCUGGUUCUCCCCGAAAGCUAUUUAGGUAGCGCCUCGUGAAUUCAUCUUCGGGGGUAGAGCACUGUUUCGGCUAGGGGGUCAUCCCGACUUACCAACCCGAUGCAAACUACGAAUACCGAAGAAUGUUAUCACGGGAGACACACGGCGGGUGCUAACGUUCGUCGUGAAGAGGGAAACAACCCAGACCGCCAGCUAAGGUCCCAAAGUCAUGGUUAAGUGGGAAACGAUGUGGGAAGGCA
Molecule: ribosomal RNA, 686 nt
Filed under: Pectobacterium odoriferum
Lineage: Bacteria; Pseudomonadati; Pseudomonadota; Gammaproteobacteria; Enterobacterales; Pectobacteriaceae
Description: bacterial LSU rRNA
Rfam family: Bacterial large subunit ribosomal RNA
Source: RNAcentral